GCACCCCUGGUUUGGAAUGGAAC
RNAcentral lists this non-coding RNA (23 nucleotides) under Cricetulus griseus (Chinese hamster). The record is from RNAcentral. Lineage: Eukaryota; Metazoa; Chordata; Mammalia; Rodentia; Cricetidae.